This is a non-coding RNA of Parelaphostrongylus tenuis, 73 nucleotides long. The record is from the annotation of a GenBank genome assembly. NCBI's taxonomy places the organism in Eukaryota, Metazoa, Nematoda, Chromadorea, Rhabditida, Metastrongylidae.
GCGUUAGUAGUGUAACGGGUCAGCACGCAUUCCUGGAAAGAGUGAGAUCUGAGUUUGAAUCCCGGCUAACACU